RNAcentral lists this ribosomal RNA (315 nucleotides) under Triticum aestivum (bread wheat). RNAcentral describes it as "partial small subunit ribosomal RNA". The record is from RNAcentral. Lineage: Eukaryota; Viridiplantae; Streptophyta; Magnoliopsida; Poales; Poaceae.
AUGGAAGAGAUUGAAUCAAACAUUAGAAAUUUUAUGACUUUACAAUUUGAGCAUAAUAAUUUCUUCAGAAAAGAGCUUAAAGAACAAAAAGGUUUUUGGGGGUUUAUGAACAAGGAGCUUGAUGAUAUGUAUAAAGAAUUUUAUGGUUUGAACUCUCAAAUUACCCGGCUCGAAAAUUCUAUAACCCAAAUUUCUGAUAAGCAAGCUACCUUAGUCAAUAAGAUGGCUGCCAAACCAGAAAAGUUAGGUGAAAAUAAUGAUGAAGUUCUUAAUGUUAUUGAUGUGUCCCCAUUAGAUCUUUGUUUUGCAAUAUGA